RNAcentral lists this ribosomal RNA (404 nucleotides) under Actinomycetes bacterium. RNAcentral describes it as "Actinobacteria bacterium partial 16S ribosomal RNA". It matches the Rfam family "Bacterial small subunit ribosomal RNA", at positions 355 to 776 of the family's 1533-position model. Lineage: Bacteria; Bacillati; Actinomycetota; Actinomycetes. The record is from RNAcentral.
UGGGGAAUAUUGGGCAAUGGGCGCAAGCCUGAUCCAGCCAUGCCGCGUGAGUGAUGAAGGCCCUAGGGUUGUAAAGCUCUUUCACCGGUGAAGAUAAUGACGGUAACCGGAGAAGAAGCCCCGGCUAACUCCGCGCCAGCAGCCGCGGUAAUACGAAGGGGGCUAGCGUCUUUCGGAUUUACUGGGCGUAAAGCGCACGUAGGCGGACUAUUAAGUCAGGAGUGAAAUCCCGGGGCUCAACCCCGGAACUGCCUUUGAUACUGGUAGUCUUGAGUUCGAGAGAGGUGUGUGGAAUUCCGAGUGUAAAGAUGAAAUUCGUAGAUAUUCGGAAGAACACCAGUGGCGAAGGCGGCCCACUGGCUAGGUACUGACUCUGAGGUGCGAAAGAGUGGGGAGCAAAGAGG